This 465-nucleotide ribosomal RNA is filed under the name Vreelandella stevensii. Its description in RNAcentral is "partial 16S ribosomal RNA". It matches the Rfam family "Bacterial small subunit ribosomal RNA", at positions 338 to 795 of the family's 1533-position model. Lineage: Bacteria; Pseudomonadati; Pseudomonadota; Gammaproteobacteria; Oceanospirillales; Halomonadaceae. The record is from RNAcentral.
CCUACGGGGGGCUGCAGUGGGGAAUAUUGGACAAUGGGGGCAACCCUGAUCCAGCCAUGCCGCGUGUGUGAAGAAGGCCCUCGGGUUGUAAAGCACUUUCAGUGAGGAAGAACGCCUGGUGGUUAAUACCCAUCAGGAAAGACAUCACUCACAGAAGAAGCACCGGCUAACUCCGUGCCAGCAGCCGCGGUAAUACGGAGGGUGCGAGCGUUAAUCGGAAUUACUGGGCGUAAAGCGCGCGUAGGUGGCUUGAUAAGCCGGUUGUAAAAGCCCCGGGCUCAACCUGGGAACGGCAUCCGGAACUGUCAAGCUAGAGUGCAGGAGAGGAAGGUAGAAUUCCCGGUGUAGCGGUGAAAUGCGUAGAGAUCGGGAGGAAUACCAGUGGCGAAGGCGGCCUUCUGGACUGACACUGACACUGAGGUGCGAAAGCGUGGGUAGCAAACAGGAUUAGAUACCCUAGUAGUC